Molecule: transfer RNA, 95 nt
Filed under: Armillaria luteobubalina
Lineage: Eukaryota; Fungi; Basidiomycota; Agaricomycetes; Agaricales; Physalacriaceae
Rfam family: tRNA
About the family: Transfer RNA (tRNA) molecules are approximately 80 nucleotides in length.
Source: Rfam by way of RNAcentral
UCCCUCUUAGCUCAGUUGGUAGAGCGCGUCACUAGUAUAGCCGUAUAAGAAGACAUGCUAUGACGAGGUCAGUCGUUCAAGUCGGCUAGAGGGAA